CACGUAGGGGGCAAGCGUUGUCCGGAUUUAUUGGGCGUAAAGAGCUCGUAGGCGGUUUCGUAAGUCGGGUGUGAAAACUCUAGGCUCAACCUAGAGACGCCACCCGAUAUUGCGAUGACUAGAGUCCGGUAGGGGAGUGUGGAAUUCCUGGUGUAGCGGUGAAAUGCGUAGAUAUCUGGAGGAACACCGGUGGCGAAGGCGGCAUCCUGGACCAACACUGACGCUGAUGAGCGAAAGCCAGGGGAGCAAACGGG
This 254-nucleotide ribosomal RNA is filed under the name uncultured bacterium. Its description in RNAcentral is "partial 16S ribosomal RNA". It matches the Rfam family "Bacterial small subunit ribosomal RNA", at positions 524 to 776 of the family's 1533-position model. The record is from RNAcentral.